UACGGGAGGCAGCAGUGGGGAAUAUUGCACAAUGGGCGCAAGCCUGAUGCAGCCAUGCCGCGUGUAUGAAGAAGGCCUUCGGGUUGUAAAGUACUUUCAGCGGGGAGGAAGGCGAUGCGGUUAAUAACCGCGUCGAUUGACGUUACCCGCAGAAGAAGCACCGGCUAACUCCGUGCCAGCAGCCGCGGUAAUACGGAGGGUGCAAGCGUUAAUCGGAAUUACUGGGCGUAAAGCGCACGCAGGCGGUCUGUUAAGUCAGAUGUGAAAUCCCCCGGGCUUAACCUGGGAACUGCAUUUUGAAACUGGCAGGCUUGAGUCUUGUAGAGGGGGUAGAAUUCCAGGUGUAGCGGUGAAAUGCGUAGAGAUCUGGAGGAAUACCGGUGGCGAAGGCGGCCCCUGGGACAAAGACUGACGCUCAGGUGCGAAAGCGUGGGGAGCAAACAGGGAUUAGAUACC
RNAcentral lists this ribosomal RNA (456 nucleotides) under uncultured bacterium. RNAcentral's name for it is "bacterial SSU rRNA". It matches the Rfam family "Bacterial small subunit ribosomal RNA", at positions 340 to 786 of the family's 1533-position model. The record is from RNAcentral.